UCCCUGGCUGCGGCUCCUCAGUCGGCGGCGGCUGCUGCUGCCUGUGGCCCGGGCGGCUGGGAGAAGCGGAGUGUUGGUGAGUGACGCGGCGGAGGUGUAGUUUGACGCGGUGUGUUACGUGGGGGAGAGAAUAAAACUCCAGCGAGAUCCGGGCCGCGAACGAAAGCAGUGACGGAGGAGCUUGUACCACCGGUAACUAAAUGACCAUGGAAUCUGGAGCAGAGAACCAGCAGAGUGGAGAUGCAGCUGUAACAGAAGCUGAAAACCAACAAAUGACAGUUCAAGCCCAGCCACAGAUUGCCACAUUAGCCCAGGUAUCUAUGCCAGCAGCUCAUGCAACAUCAUCUGCUCCCACCGUAACUUUAGUACAGCUACCCAAUGGGCAGACAGUUCAAGUCCAUGGAGUUAUUCAGGCCGCCCAGCCAUCAGUUAUUCAGUCUCCACAAGUCCAGACAGUUCAGUCAUCUUCCUGUAAGGACUUAAAAAGACUUUUCUCCGGAACACAGAUUUCAACUAUUGCAGAAAGUGAAGAUUCACAGGAAUCAGUGGAUAGUGUAACUGAUUCCCAGAAACGAAGGGAAAUUCUUUCAAGGAGGCCUUCCUACAGGAAAAUUUUGAAUGAUUUAUCUUCUGAUGCACCAGGAGUGCCAAGGAUUGAAGAAGAGAAGUCUGAAGAGGAGACUUCAGCACCUGCCAUCACCACUGUAACGGUGCCAACUCCGAUUUACCAAACUAGCAGUGGACAGUAUAUUGCCAUUACCCAGGGAGGAGCUAUACAACUGGCUAACAAUGGUACCGAUGGGGUACAGGGCCUGCAAACAUUAACCAUGACCAAUGCAGCUGCCACUCAGCCUGGUACUACCAUUCUACAGUAUGCACAGACCACGGAUGGACAGCAGAUCUUAGUGCCCAGCAACCAAGUUGUUGUUCAAGCUGCCUCUGGAGAUGUACAAACAUACCAGAUUCGCACAGCACCCACUAGCACUAUUGCCCCUGGAGUUGUUAUGGCAUCCUCCCCAGCACUUCCUACACAGCCUGCUGAAGAAGCAGCACGAAAGAGAGAGGUUCGUCUAAUGAAGAACAGGGAAGCAGCACGAGAGUGUCGUAGAAAGAAGAAAGAAUAUGUAAAAUGUUUAGAAAACCGAGUGGCGGUGCUUGAAAACCAAAACAAGACACUGAUUGAGGAGCUAAAAGCACUUAAGGACCUUUACUGCCACAAAUCAGAUUAAUUUGGGAUUUAAAUUUUCAUCUGUUAAGGUGGAAAAUGGACUGGCUUCGCCACAAUCAGAAAGACAAAAUAAACAUUUUAUUUUCUAAACAUUUCUGUUUUUCUAUGCGCAAAACUGCCUGAAAGCAACUACAGAAUUUCAUUCAUUUGUGCUUUUGCAUUAAACUGUGAAUGUUCCAACACCUGCCUCCACUUCUCCCCUCAAGAAAUUUUCAGCGCCAGGAAUCAUGAAGAUACUUCUGCUUUUCAACCCCCACCCUCCUCAAGAAGUAAUAAUCUGUUUACUUGUAAAUUGAUGGGGGAAAUAAGGAAAAGAAAACCUUUUAAAAAAUGAUUUCAAGGUUUGCGCUGAGCUCCUUGAUUGCCUUAGGGACAGAAUUACCCCAGCCUCUAGAGCUGAAGUAAUGUGUGGGCCGCAUGCAUAAAGAUGAACAAAGUUUAUGAAGGAGAAUCAUUCUAAGAAUUGAGUGAUGUAGUCUUUAUAUUUGGACAAUUCACCAGAUUCUCAAGAAGGCUUUCAAACGACUGUAAAGUUUGAUAUUUGUCCUGCUGACCUAAUGGGGAAAGUUAUAGUAUACAAAUUGUUUGUAUACCAGCAUAGUUAAUGUCAUUUUCUAAAACUGGUUUAACGGAAAAUCACAAAUCUUUUCACAAACUGGAAUUAUUUUGUAUUGGGUCAAAAUGUCAGAUUGAACAUUUUUAAUGUCGUCAGCGUUGUAAGUGAAAAAUUGUCUAGUGAGUUGUAUUCUCUAAAGUCUUUUUCAGAAGUUAAGGCUUUCUACUUAAUUAGGAAGUUGGUGGUCCUCUUAGUCCCUCAUAAAUGAAGGCAAUCACAUUCACAUUAGCUGGCUGGAGAUUUGUAAGUUAUAAAAACCUGGUCCUUGAGGAUGAUUGCCCUGGUUUGAAGUCACUUACUUAAUGAUGAGGUGAGAAAUGUAUUCUUUUGCUAAAUCUGUUUUAGACCCUCUACAGAUAGAAAUCAAGCAUCUUUUGUGCUGGCUUUUUUUUUUUUUUUUAAACACAAGAAUUGGAAAAAAAGGUGUUUGUUUUUAAGCAUGCAACUUUGAGAACCUUUAUUAAAGAAAAUGACAUAAUUUUUUAAAAAAUCUUGUAGCCAAGAACAUAUGUGGCCACAUUACCAGUAAUGUUUUUUUUCUUCAUAUUGGCCAAAAGGGAAUGAAAAUGUCAUCAUAGGAAUCUGUACAUAUGCUACUGAUUUUCCCUAGAAAUAGCAAGUUUGGUAUUGCUCACUUUGCAGAUACAGGGCCACAUGGCACUUUUAUCUACAGGACAGAUUAACUCUAAUAAAAGUGAAGUGGGGAGGAGUUUAUUUUUGAUAUAUUACUUUUGUGAGUUUUCAAGCUUUGAUAGUGUUUAACUGAAAAGUGGUUUAGAAAGGGCUAGAUCCAAUGUCUUCACAUUAUUAAAAAAAAAAAUGAUAUCAGAUACAAUUUUAAGUUCAUUCUUUUUCAAACUCAAGUACCAUAUUGGCAACCAUAAUAUUGUCAUAGGUGCUCUGUUCAUUUAGAUAUUCUUGGGGGGGGAGGGAAAUGGCAUUUGUAUAAUAUAUGUGUACAUAUAUAUAUACAUACAGUAUAUAAUCUAAAGCUCUGAGAGCUCUUAAGUCAGGAAUGCUGAGUAUUAUAGUAUAUUAAGAUCAGAUAAAAUUUUACAUUUUGUGUGUUCUAUUGCAUCCCUUCUUGUAGUUUCUGACUGCAUUACUCCAGCACUCAUUGAUUUUUAUCUUCUAAUUUUCGUCCAGUAUUUUAUUUUUCAUUAGUUUUCUUUGGCUUGAUACUCUUAUAUAUGCUGUUACUAGUCACUUGAAAACUCCUCCCCCCAAAACUAUUCGGUUUUUAUGCUUUGUCUCUGGCAGCUAUAACAGUGGUUAGAGCAUUUUGAAGAUAGCUUUUGAAAGGAACCACUGAUUUUUCAAAAAUCAUCCUGGGGGAGGAAUUUCAUUUGAGCAGGGAUUUUGUCAGAAAAUGUGUUUUGACGGUAGGUCAGCAGCAGUGCUAGUAUCUGAAAGCACAAUACCAGUCAGGCAGGCUGUCCAAUCAGAAGUCAUCUGGCUGAAGUUUAUCUCUGUCUCUCAGGACUAAUCCCCACUAUCUUUUUAACCAUUUGAGGUGACAUGUGGAAUCAUACAAAGGCUUAGGAAGAAACAAGUUUGCUUAAACCAGGAUGCUUUUACUUACUUGAACUGACUUCAGUCUAGAUUUCUUCUUUUCACAUUUAUCGGAUUUUUAAUUGUGAUCAACUACAGUCAGCUAUUAAGGUAAAUUGGUCUCUGUUUAUUUUGAAGAUCGAAGGAUGCUUCAUUUUCCAGGAUUAAAUAAAGCUAAUAUAUCUUAAAUUUAAGAUUUUGAAUUAAAGUGGGUUUUAGAAACAGUGGUUACAUCCCUUUUUCAGUUAUUUUCAAGAGGCUUUAUUUUGUUGCCUUUGUAGCCCUGAAAACUUGGUAUAUUGUUUCCCAUUGACCCAGUACAUAAGUUGUAUAUUUAUUCAAAUUAUAUUUGCAUUAUAUUCUUUGUAAAUGUUUGGUGUAACUUGCACUUUUUUAAAUGACCCAGUUUGGGUAUUAGCAACUUAAGAAAUCCUCUCAUCAAUUAAUUAUCGACUGACUUUGGGUCCUCCUCCUCUCUUCAAAUCAUGUGACUUUUUUAAUGAAAAUUUUUCAUUGAUUAAAAUAUUUUAUCACCUAAAAACUAGCCUUAAAAAUAGCUGUAAAAGAAAAAUAUCUGGAAAUUAGAUUUUCCUAGCCCAGUUCAUUAUAAAAUGGGCUCAAACCUUAUUCUUUCAUCAUGGAGACUGAAGGAAAAGUAAACCAAGUGAAUAAUAUUUAUUUCCAAUUUUAAGUGAGACUUUAUCCUCACCCCAACAUUAAUACUGUCUAUAAUAUGCCAAAAUAUCCAUUCAUUUGUCCAGAGUAGUAAAAGAUUUUUUUAAAUAGUUAUUGUCAUCACAGAGACCACAUGUAAUAAUCAUUUCACCAAAUUAUUUUCACUUUAGGUUGGUUGUAUUAACAUCAAAGAAAUGCCUAAAUUUGAUUGAUUUCAGAUGAGGAGAGGGGGAAAGUGAAGUGUGUUUAGUAAGCCUGUAGGUGAAGAGUUGUGGAAUAAAUUUGUUCAGUUGUACAAAGCACAACUAGAAUUUUUUGUUGGGUGGCUUACAUACAUCUUUAAUACUUUUAAUGUUAAUGUUGACUUUUUUAAGUUGACUACACAGUCAUUAGGAACUGGUUUCCUUGACUUUCUAGAAUCAAUGGCUAGGAGAGGAAUAAUCCUUAAGGGGUCGAACAUAUCAUAAAGCUGAGUCAGUAUGGAAGAAUUUCAAAUAAAUCAAACAGGGUGCUGAAGUUCCAUCUGUCUCAUCUGCUUAUGAUAAGUUCUUAUUGAUUAGUGAAUGUAGCUUAAGCCUUUGUAUGUGUCCUCAGGGGGCAGACAAACUUUAAGAGGGACCAGAUAACGUUUGAAUGGAGGGAUUAUAUUUCAGGUGUUUUAGCUUGAAAUUUAUUUUUUAAAAAAAGAAAAAUUAAAAAAAUAAAUAAAAUAGAACAAAGCCUGUAAAACAAGCUGAUAUUAUAAACAGGCACAGUUGUUUAGCACAGAGAGAAUAUUGACCUGUCUGCAUUCUGGUACUGUGGAUACAGGUCCCAGCUGGGUAUAACAUGAUACUUUUUAAAUUAUUCUCACCAGCAAGUAAAAGGAGAAUGAACAAUCUUCAGAAAAUGUCUUUGAAAAGGGUCAACCAGUAGGAAAUUCAAAUUUUACUUACUUUAUAAGGCAUUAUUUAAUACUUGCCUAUAGAAGUACAGCAUUUCCAAGCUUCUGUCUGAGGAGCAUCUCAGAAAUGUGAGAGUAAAUCUGAGAUGGCUUAAAAAUUGGUAGGGAAGGAAGAAAAUCCCUGCAGAUAAUGAUCUUAUGUUUGUUGGCCAAAUGAAAUGGUCUGUCAUUGUUUGGGAGGUUUUAUUUUCUUACAUUUUUAAAAUUGAAUUGGUAAAUGCUUUAUAGACAUAUUUUUAUCCAGGUGCCACUCCAAUUUGUGUAUGUAAUAAAAUUAUUUAUAUUGAAAUUGGGAAAUAAUUUGUCCACAUUUUUCUGUGAGUUUAGAUUAGGGGUGGCAAAGAGUGCUAGUUAGCAGUUUUCCAUGUAAAGUUGUCCUUGACUGAUUUGUCCCAUGUCAGUUGUAAUCCUCCUCUUCCCCACAAAAUGAAUUAUUUCUAAUCCAGAUGUUACCACUUGAAACUUUUUAGAAACAAUAAUCAGGGAAGUUCCUGGAAAGGUGGUUUUUUGUUGUUGUUUUUCCUGGAGCAUUGGGGUAAAGAAUACCUCCCCCAAAACUAUUAGCACAAAACAGGGUAUGGAUUUUUAACUCUGAUGUUUCUAUUGGAGUUGAAUACUAAAUAACUAUAAUGAGGGAAAUACAUUUCUAAUUAAAUUCCCUACAUUCUAGAAACAUCCCUGUUUAAAUUUUUUUACCUGAAUCUUUUUGUGCUAUAUGUAUAAAGGAAAAAAAUGUACUGAGUUACAAUGCAUUUUAUUAACACUAUGUACAUAUUAGCUGCUUUGUGUUCAGAAUGGUAGCAAUUGCUUUGUAUAUUAAAGUGAUCCUUGUGAAUUUGUGAAAUAUUGUCAUAAAGUACUUUUUCUUACUGUAAUCUUUGUGGUAUCAACUGUCAUAA
Molecule: RNA transcript, 5912 nt
Organism: Cynocephalus volans (Philippine flying lemur)
Lineage: Eukaryota; Metazoa; Chordata; Mammalia; Dermoptera; Cynocephalidae
Gene: CREB1
Gene name: cAMP responsive element binding protein 1
Exons: 10
Source: RefSeq, a predicted model, not a curated record